AUGGAGGCAGAAAUAGUUGAGGAGUACAAGUAUCUAGGGGUGCAUAUCAGCAAUAAUCUAGACUGGUCCAGGAACUCGCUGGCCAUAUACAAGAAGGGUCAAAAGACUAAACGCUCACCGGUGUGUGAAAGAGCGGACAACUCUGCCAUUAAAAUGAAGGCACUGGACACACUGACCGCGGUGAUGCUCAUCACCUACACACUUGGCUCCAGUGGUGAGAUCAUCAUGACUCAGCCUCAGACAGCAGUGUCUGGCCAGUCUGGAGAGACGGUGACCAUCAAAUGCCAGACCAGCAGGUCUGUUUACAGCUCCCAUUAUAAAGUGGACAUGCUAAACUGGGUUCAACAGAAGCCUGGAGCACCUCCAAAGGGCAUUAUAGGUGAUGGUGUCUAUCUAACCUCUGGGGUGCCAAACCGCUUCAGUGGCAGUGGAGGGGGGACUGAAUUCACAUUGACCAUCACUGGAGUUCAGCCUGAAGAUGCCGGCUAUUACUACUGUGCACAACGCUAUACUGCACCAUACACAGUGAUAGAGAGCUGA
Erpetoichthys calabaricus (reedfish) is the source of this 540-nucleotide non-coding RNA. The record is from the annotation of a RefSeq genome assembly. NCBI's taxonomy places the organism in Eukaryota, Metazoa, Chordata, Cladistia, Polypteriformes, Polypteridae.